RNAcentral lists this ribosomal RNA (119 nucleotides) under Pteropus alecto (black flying fox). The record is from RNAcentral. Lineage: Eukaryota; Metazoa; Chordata; Mammalia; Chiroptera; Pteropodidae.
GACUACAGCCAUGCUACCCCAAAAAUGCCUGAUCCCAUCUGAUCUCGGAAGCUAAGCAGGGUUGGGCCUGGUUAGUACUUGGAUGGAAGACCGCCUGGGAAUACCAGGUGCUGUAGGCA